ACAACAACAAGACACUUAAGAGAAUGUGUGUAAGAUA
RNAcentral lists this non-coding RNA (37 nucleotides) under Trypanosoma brucei brucei. Lineage: Eukaryota; Euglenozoa; Kinetoplastea; Trypanosomatida; Trypanosomatidae. The record is from RNAcentral.